CACAGCACGAGAUGACCCAAUAAUCCGAACUCCUACGUCGUUCGGGUUAUUGGGUCAUCUCGUGCUGUG
RNAcentral lists this small RNA (69 nucleotides) under Mytilus galloprovincialis (Mediterranean mussel). The record is from RNAcentral. Lineage: Eukaryota; Metazoa; Mollusca; Bivalvia; Mytilida; Mytilidae.